RNAcentral lists this ribosomal RNA (460 nucleotides) under uncultured bacterium. Its description in RNAcentral is "partial 16S ribosomal RNA". It matches the Rfam family "Bacterial small subunit ribosomal RNA", at positions 338 to 795 of the family's 1533-position model. The record is from RNAcentral.
CCUACGGGGGGCAGCAGUGAGGAAUAUUGGUCAAUGGGCGGAAGCCUGAACCAGCCAAGUCGCGUGAGGGAUUAAGGCCCUGCGGGUCGUAAACCUCUUUUGCCGGGGAGCAGAGGUCCGGACGUGUCCGGGCCGGGAGAGUACCCGGAGAAAAAGCACCGGCUAACUCCGUGCCAGCAGGCGCGGUAAUACGGAGGAUGCGAGCGUUAUCCGGAUUUAUUGGGGUUAAAGGGUGCGUAGGCGGGCAUUUAAGCCGGCGGUCAAAUGUCGGGGCUCAACCCCGGCCUGCCGUCGGAACUGGGUGCCUUGAGUGGGCGAGAAGUAUGCGGAAUGCGUGGUGUAGCGGUGAAAUGCAUAGAUAUCACGCAGAACCCCGAUUGCGAAGGCAGCAUACCGGCGCCCUACUGACGCUGAGGCACGAAAGUGCGGGUAUCGAACAGGAUUAGAUACCCCGGUAGUC